This 1569-nucleotide ribosomal RNA is filed under the name Salmonella enterica. RNAcentral describes it as "partial 23S ribosomal RNA". The record is from RNAcentral. Lineage: Bacteria; Pseudomonadati; Pseudomonadota; Gammaproteobacteria; Enterobacterales; Enterobacteriaceae.
UGCUGGAGGUAUCAGAAGUGCGAAUGCUGACAUAAGUAACGAUAAAGCGGGUGAAAAGCCCGCUCGCCGGAAGACCAAGGGUUCCUGUCCAACGUUAAUCGGGGCAGGGUGAGUCGACCCCUAAGGCGAGGCCGAAAGGCGUAGUCGAUGGGAAACGGGUUAAUAUUCCCGUACUUGGUGUUACUGCGAAGGGGGGACGGAGAAGGCUAUGUUGGCCGGGCGACGGUUGUCCCGGUUUAAGCGUGUAGGUGUGUGUUCCAGGUAAAUCCGGUUCACUUUAACACUGAGGCGUGAUGACGAGGCACUACGGUGCUGAAGCAACAAAUGCCCUGCUUCCAGGAAAAGCCUCUAAGCAUCAGGUAACAUCAAAUCGUACCCCAAACCGACACAGGUGGUCAGGUAGAGAAUACCAAGGCGCUUGAGAGAACUCGGGUGAAGGAACUAGGCAAAAUGGUGCCGUAACUUCGGGAGAAGGCACGCUGACAYGUAGGUGAAGUGAUUUACUCAUGGAGCUGAAGUCAGUCGAAGAUACCAGCUGGCUGCAACUGUUUAUUAAAAACACAGCACUGUGCAAACACGAAAGUGGACGUAUACGGUGUGACGCCUGCCCGGUGCCGGAAGGUUAAUUGAUGGGGUCAGCGCAAGCGAAGCUCCUGAUCGAAGCCCCGGUAAACGGCGGCCGUAACUAUAACGGUCCUAAGGUAGCGAAAUUCCUUGUCGGGUAAGUUCCGACCUGCACGAAUGGCGUAAUGAUGGCCAGGCUGUCUCCACCCGAGACUCAGUGAAAUUGAACUCGCUGUGAAGAUGCAGUGUACCCGCGGCAAGACGGAAAGACCCCGUGAACCUUUACUAUAGCUUGACACUGAACAUUGAGCCUUGAUGUGUAGGAUAGGUGGGAGGCUUUGAAGUGUGGACGCCAGUCUGCAUGGAGCCGACCUUGAAAUACCACCCUUUAAUGUUUGAUGUUCUAACGUGGACCCGURAUCCGGGUUGCGGACAGUGUCUGGUGGGUAGUUUGACUGGGGCGGUCUCCUCCUAAAGAGUAACGGAGGAGCACGAAGGUUGGCUAAUCCUGGUCGGACAUCAGGAGGUUAGUGCAAUGGCAUAAGCCAGCUUGACUGCGAGCGUGACGGCGCGAGCAGGUGCGAAAGCAGGUCAUAGUGAUCCGGUGGUUCUGAAUGGAAGGGCCAUCGCUCAACGGAUAAAAGGUACUCCGGGGAUAACAGGCUGAUACCGCCCAAGAGUUCAUAUCGACGGCGGUGUUUGGCACCUCGAUGUCGGCUCAUCACAUCCUGGGGCUGAAGUAGGUCCCAAGGGUAUGGCUGUUCGCCAUUUAAAGUGGUACGCGAGCUGGGUUUAGAACGUCGUGAGACAGUUCGGUCCCUAUCUGCCGUGGGCGCUGGAGAACUGAGGGGGGCUGCUCCUAGUACGAGAGGACCGGAGUGGACGCAUCACUGGUGUUCGGGUUGUCAUGCCAAUGGCACUGCCCGGUAGCUAAAUGCGGAAGAGAUAAGUGCUGAAAGCAUCUAAGCACGAAACUUGCCCCGAGAUGAGUUCUCCCUGAGACUU